This 500-nucleotide ribosomal RNA is filed under the name uncultured bacterium. RNAcentral's name for it is "partial 16S ribosomal RNA". It matches the Rfam family "Bacterial small subunit ribosomal RNA", at positions 28 to 507 of the family's 1533-position model. The record is from RNAcentral.
GACGAACGCUGGCGGCAUGCCUAAUACAUGCAAGUCGAGCGAACAUUUAUAGAGCCUUGCCUCUUUAAAUUUUCGCGGGGCGUGUGAGUGUCACAUGUAUGCCACCUCCCCUGCACUUGGGGAUAACCCCGGGAAACCGGGUCUUAUACCCUAUUAUCAGUUACUCCGCAUGGCCAUACUCUAAAAGACUUUUUCGGCUGUCACUAGAGGAUGCCCCCGCGGCGCAUUAGCUAGUUGGUGGGAUAACGGCCUACCAAGGCAACGAUGCGUAGCCGACCUGAGAGGGUGAUCGGCCACACUGGAACUGAGACACGGUCCAGACUCCUACGGGAGGCAGCAGUAGGGAAUCUUCCACAAUGGGCGGAAGCCUGAUGGAGCAAUGCCGCGUGAGUGAAGAAGGUCUUCGGAUCGUAAAGCUCUGUUGUGAGGGAAGAACAAGUGCGGGAGUAACUGCCCGUACCUUGACGGUACCUAAUGAGAAAGCCACGGCUAACUACGUG